UCCCAGACUCCUACGGGAGGCAGCAGUGAGGAAUAUUGGUCAAUGGCCGGAAGGCUGAACCAGCCAAGCCGCGUGAGGGAGGAAGGCGCAGAGCGUCGCAGACCUCUUUUGCCGGGGGACAAAAGGCCGGACGGGUCCGGUUCUGAGGGUACCCGGAGAAAAAGCAUCGGCUAACUCCGUGCCAGCAGCCGCGGUAAUACGGAGGAUCCGAGCGUUAUCCGGAUUUAUUGGGUUUAAAGGGUGCGUAGGCGGUUUGAUAAGUUAGAGGUGAAAUGUCGGGGCUCAACCCCGAAACUGCCUCUAAUACUGUUGGACUAGAGAAUAGUUGCGGUAGGCGGAAUGUAUGGUGUAGCGGUGAAAUGCUUAGAGAUCAUACAGAACACCGAUUGCGAAGGCAGCUUACCAAACUAUAUCUGACGUUGAGGCACGAAAGCGUGGGUAGCAAACAGGAUUAGAUACCCCAGUAC
This 467-nucleotide ribosomal RNA is filed under the name uncultured bacterium. RNAcentral describes it as "bacterial SSU rRNA". It matches the Rfam family "Bacterial small subunit ribosomal RNA", at positions 329 to 793 of the family's 1533-position model. The record is from RNAcentral.